Molecule: ribosomal RNA, 254 nt
Filed under: uncultured bacterium
Lineage: Bacteria
Description: partial 16S ribosomal RNA
Rfam family: Bacterial small subunit ribosomal RNA
Source: RNAcentral
UACGUAGGGACCGAGCGUUGUCCGGAUUCAUUGGGCGUAAAGAGCUCGUAGGCGGCUUGUCGCGUCGACUGUGAAAACCCGCGGCUCAACCGUGUGGCGGGCAGUUGAUACGGGCAGGCUAGAGUUCGGUAGGGGAGACUGGAAUUCCUGGUGUAGCGGUGAAAUGCGCAGAUAUCAGGAGGAACACCGGUGGCGAAGGCGGGUCUCUGGGCCGAUACUGACGCUGAGGAGCGAAAGCGUGGGGAGCGAACAGG